This 411-nucleotide ribosomal RNA is filed under the name Bacteroidota bacterium. Its description in RNAcentral is "Bacteroidetes bacterium partial 16S ribosomal RNA". It matches the Rfam family "Bacterial small subunit ribosomal RNA", at positions 355 to 776 of the family's 1533-position model. Lineage: Bacteria; Pseudomonadati; Bacteroidota. The record is from RNAcentral.
UGGGGAAUAUUGCGCAAUGGGGGAAACCCUGACGCAGCGACGCCGCGUGCGGGAUGAAGGCCUUCGGGUUGUAAACCGCUUUUGAUUGGGAGCAAGCUUUCGGGUGAGUGUACCUUUCGAAUAAGCGCCGGCUAACUACGUGCCAGCAGCCGCGGUAAUACGUAGGGCGCAAGCGUUAUCCGGAAUUAUUGGGCGUAAAGCGAGCGCAGGCGGUCAAUUAAGUCUGAUGUGAAAGCCCCCGGCUCAACCGGGGAGGGUCAUUGGAAACUGGUUGACUUGAGUGCAGAAGAGGAGAGUGGAAUUCCAUGUGUAGCGGUGAAAUGCGUAGAUAUAUGGAGGAACACCAGUGGCGAAGGCGACUCUCUGGUCUGUAACUGACGCGGAGGCUCGAAAGCGUGGGGAGCGAACAGG